UUUACGAUAUUUGCGCGUAUUAUCUCGCGGCGUGUACACACGAUCCGGGAUUUCAGUACUCGUGUAGGACAAACCCGCGUUCGUUUGCCAAGAGACGGGAGAAGUUCGUUACGUCCCCCUUUUUUCUCUCCGUUUAUCCACGUAGCAGGAAUUAUUCCGGUCAGCGGAGAAAUUAUCUCGUCUCUCUCUCUCUCUUUCUUUUUCUUCGACCAAAGAAAGAGAGGUGUUUGAUCCCCUUCCUGGUCUUUUUCUUCCUCGUCAACCGAGAGUGGAGCAAGAGGGUGGUGGUCGAGAGAGAGAGAGAGGGAGAGAGAGAGGUGAAAAAUAACGUCUUGUUCACCCUCUCUGCUUCAGCCAUCCCUUACGCUGAUUCCUCGCUGUUAUGAGGACGUUACGUCGGGAAUAAUUCGGAGUAUCAAGUAUCCGUGCAAAAAUUCCCAACACUCUCUGAAGAACAGAACGAGAGAUUCCAAGCCGAAAAUAUUCGCAAGAUCCAUUUACCAUUUUUCACUUACUAAGCGUCCUUCAAUAAAUUAAAUUCUCGCUCCAUUAUCAAAGCACUCGACGUAACAACUCCUAUCCGUGCAAAAAAAUAAAAAAAAGAAAGGGAAGAGCAAAAUAAAAUAAAAAGAAACGCGGAGUCUCCAUUCGUCGAAGCGGAGGGAAGUCCGUGCCUUCGACAAUGAGCGGGUCCACUUUAAAACAAAGCAUCCUAUCAGAUAACGGUUUUUCAAUAGGUGGAGAGCGAGAGAGACGCAUGAGGGCUGUCCAGUGCAGACUGAUGCCACGUCGCGAUUAACUUCAAACGAAGCGCGCGCAUCGUCCAGACUUCGUUUCCCGUUCUUUUAUUCCUGAAAAAAAAAAAAAGAAGAAGAACGAGAGAGCCAUUUCCCCUUGUCCUCGUUGCACCCUCUUUUCCCGAUUUACCUCCUUUCGAACCUCCUUUUCUCCCUCUUCCCUGGAUCACGAGAAGAAAAUGGAGAGAAAAUGGUCAACUUUCUCGAAUCUUUGUGAAUCAUUUGUGAUAUCGAGGAAAAGGCGACAAGUGGAUUUAUUUAUUUAUUUAUUUUCUUCUUUCGAAAAGAAGAAAUAAGAAUAAUCAGAAACAGAAACUUCGCAACUCGAUUAAAAAAGGAAUUGACGCGCGUGUCAGAGAUUGAACGCGAUUUGCGAGGCAUUUACAACGUGCAAAUCGAUGAAAGUCCCUUGUCUAGGCGGUAAGACAGGCGUUUUUGCGUGCAAAGGUAACGAGGCGGUGUCAGGAGGAGGAGGAGGAGGAGGAGGAGGAGGCACGCGGCCAGGCAGGGCCAGUUUCUCACAGACCCAUCGGGGACUUUCUCUGUGUAGAAGGAUUUUUCUACCGAGUAUUCGUAUAGGUCGUGGCACGGGGUCAGGAAUGCCCUUAAUAAAGUAAUCACACGCGGGACGAGGAUGCUCGUUGCACGAAGGAAUAAUGCUACUUUCAACUGGAGGUGGGAGUCUCUCGGACCUCCGCUUACGUAUCUGUUAAUUUAUACGCGUCCCAUCCUCCAUUUUAUUCCUCGCUUUUCUCGCUUUUCGCGGGUGGACACGUAGGAGAUGUAACGAUCGGUCAUAAAUUACUUUACAAAUUUUAUUUCUUUUCUUUUAGAAAUCUUUUAUUGUCUUUGAUUAUUUUUCUUCUCGCGUUAAAUUGUAAAUUGUGCGUUAAUUACACGUUGUCGUAAAUGCUGCGCAUUAGAGAGAAAUUUGUUUACCUGGAAUUUUUGAUAAUCAGUAGUGGUUAGUUUUUUUUUAACACUCGACUUGUUUUCAGUUUGGAGGAAUUCCUUUUCCCUUGUUUGGAGGAUUAGAUAAAUUAUAGUGAUAAUAAUUUUAAACCGGUUUCCACAGAUAUGGUGAAAAUGUACAUGGGGGACAUUGGCAAAAUUUGUGAAAAUAAUGAAAAUUACGAUUUUUAAUUACGAAAGUUUGUGCAAGUGAAAGAGGGGAUGGAAAAUCGAUCUCUAAAAAUUUCUAAUAUCUCUUCAUAUUUUUAAAUCUGGUUACUUUCUUUUUUCCCGCAUCAAAGUAAUUUAAAUUUCAAUAAUAAAAAAAAAGAAACGGAUUUCCAUAACUCAUUCUACUCAUGAAUUCGCACGAGUAUCCAUACUUUAUUAACAUAUUUACCAAUUUUGUCACACCGUGAAAUUACUACAAUUAAAAUAAAAAAAAUUCUCCGAACAUCCAACGAGAAGUUCCUCCUCAAUUAGAAACGCGUCGCGUGUGACCACGUUUCACUCGUCCCCAUUGCGUGUGUAAACCACCGUGUUAAUGAAGAUCGCGAACACGACGAGUAUCAAGAAAAAGAAAAAAAGAAGAAGAAGAAGAA
This is a long non-coding RNA of Apis mellifera (honey bee), 2350 nucleotides long. RefSeq lists it as uncharacterized. NCBI's taxonomy places the organism in Eukaryota, Metazoa, Arthropoda, Insecta, Hymenoptera, Apidae. The transcript is spliced from 3 exons. The record is from RefSeq and is a predicted model, not a curated record.